Molecule: ribosomal RNA, 780 nt
Filed under: uncultured bacterium
Lineage: Bacteria
Description: partial 16S ribosomal RNA
Source: RNAcentral
UUUGCUCCCCACGCUUUCGCGCCUCAGCGUCAGUUACAGACCAGAAAGCCGCCUUCGCCACUGGUGUUCCUCCACAUCUCUACGCAUUUCACCGCUACACGUGGAAUUCCGCUUUCCUCUUCUGCACUCAAGUCCCCCAGUUUCCAAUGACCCUCCACGGUUGAGCCGUGGGCUUUCACAUCAGACUUAAAGGACCGCCUGCGCGCGCUUUACGCCCAAUAAUUCCGGACAACGCUUGCCACCUACGUAUUACCGCGGCUGCUGGCACGUAGUUAGCCGUGGCUUUCUGGUUAGGUACCGUCAAGGUACCGGCAGUUACUCCGGUACUUGUUCUUCCCUAACAACAGAGCUUUACGACCCGAAGGCCUUCAUCGCUCACGCGGCGUUGCUCCAUCAGACUUUCGUCCAUUGUGGAAGAUUCCCUACUGCUGCCUCCCGUAGGAGUCUGGGCCGUGUCUCAGUCCCAGUGUGGCCGAUCACCCUCUCAGGUCGGCUACGCAUCGUCGCCUUGGUGAGCCGUUACCUCACCAACUAGCUAAUGCGCCGCGGGCCCAUCUGUAAGUGUCAGCCGAAACCGACUUUCAGCUUUUCCUCAUGAGAGGAAAAGGAUUAUCCGGUAUUAGCACCGGUUUCCCGGUGUUAUCCCAGUCUUACAGGCAGGUUGCCCACGUGUUACUCACCCGUCCGCCGCUAAUCAACAGGAGCAAGCUCCUAUUAAUUCGCUCGACUUGCAUGUAUUAGGCACGCCGCCAGCGUUCGUCCUGAGCCAGGAUCAAACUC